This is a long non-coding RNA of Notothenia coriiceps (black rockcod), 647 nucleotides long. RefSeq lists it as uncharacterized. The record is from RefSeq and is a predicted model, not a curated record. The transcript has 3 exons. Lineage: Eukaryota; Metazoa; Chordata; Actinopteri; Perciformes; Nototheniidae.
GUCUCUAUUUUUCUUUAUUUCAGGACGUUUUGGAAAACCUGGAAUCUUGUGAUCUGGACGAUGACGACCUCAUGUUGGAUGAAGAUCUGCCGGAGGAUGACUCCCUGCGCAGCGACGGAGAGGGGUUGGCCCACAUGGCUCAGUGGAGGAUGAGGCAGCUCUGCUGGGGGAACGACAACGAGAGUGAUCUGGAGAGCUACAAGCUAACGGAGGACCCGGGGAACAAGAGGACAGACGGAGACCUCAUCCUGGACUUUUCUUCCUCAAGGUGACUCAAAACAUAUUUAGCAUCAAUCUGCACUGAAACCACAGCUCACUGUUCCAGAUAUUAGUAUUUAUUUAAAGCCAACUGUCGUGUGUUUUCACCAGAUUUAAUAAUAAUUUUCUUUAUAGAUUAUUUCCUGGUAGUUUUUCACUGGAAGUCAAUCCUCUUUAUUUAUUGAUUGAGUUUUUAAAAGGAUUUUUCUCGGUUCCAAUUAACAUUACAUCCUCUCCUCCCAUGUAGAAAUAUGUCGUGGUGUAUUCGGAUCAUUGUAGGUAAAAACAGAUAAUUUCUGGGGUAAUAUUUGGUAACAAAUACCAGAACUUCAGAGAUUUAAAAUAGUAAAGUUUACAAGAAAAUAACCGGAUUAUUCUGUGAUUUUAUA